RNAcentral lists this ribosomal RNA (573 nucleotides) under Stenotrophomonas sp. RMN-Slr-29. Its description in RNAcentral is "bacterial SSU rRNA". It matches the Rfam family "Bacterial small subunit ribosomal RNA", at positions 77 to 642 of the family's 1533-position model. Lineage: Bacteria; Pseudomonadati; Pseudomonadota; Gammaproteobacteria; Lysobacterales; Lysobacteraceae. The record is from RNAcentral.
AGCUUGCUUUUUUGGUGGCGAGUGGCGGACGGGUGGGGAUUCAUUGGGAAUCUUCCUUUUGGUGGGGGAUAACGUAGGGAAACUUCCGCUAAUACGGCAUACGACCUUCGGGUGAAAGCAGGGGACCUUCGGGCUUUGCGCGAUUGGAGGAGCCGAUGUCGGAUUAGUUAGUUGGCGGGGUAAAGGCCCACCAAGCCGACGAUCCGUAGCUGUUCUGAGAGAAUGAUCACCCACACUGGAAGUGAGACACGGUCCAGACUCCUCCGGGAGGCAGCAGUGGGGAAUAUUGGACAAGGGGCGCAAGCUUGAUCCAGCCAUACCGCGUGGGUGAAGAAGGCCUUCGGGUUGUAAAGCCCUUUUGUUGGGAAAGAAAAGCGGUCGCCUAUUACCCGGUUGUUCUGCCGUGUACCCAAAGAAUAAGCACCGGCUAACUUCGUGCCAGCAGCCGCGUUAAUAGGAGGGGUGCAAGCGUUACUCGGAAUUACUGGGCGUAAAGCGUGCGUAGGUGGUUGUUUAAGUCUGUUGUGAAAGCCCUGGGCUCAACCUGGGAAUUGCAUUGGAUACUGGGUUAAA